CCUACGGGUGGCUGCAGUAACGAAUCUUCCGCAAUGCACGCAAGUGUGACGGAGCGACGCCGCGUGUGGGACGAAGUCCUUCGGGAUGUAAACCACUGUCAGGGGUAAGAUCUACCCCAGAGGAAGGCACGGCUAACUCUGUGCCAGCAGCCGCGGUAAGACAGAGGUGCCGAGCGUUAGGCGGAAUCACUGGGCUUAAAGCGUGUGUAGGCGGAUCGUUAAGUGUCUUGUGAAAUCCCCCGGCUCAACCGGGGAACUGCUGGGCAUACUGGCGAUCUUGAGCGAUCUAGGGGCAGAUGGAACAAGUGGUGGAGCGGUGAAAUGCGUAGAUAUCACUUGGAACGCCAAAGGUGAAGACAGUCUGCUGGGACUGCUGACGCUGAGACACGAAAGCCAGGGGAGCGAACGGGAUUAGAUACCCCUGUAGUC
This 429-nucleotide ribosomal RNA is filed under the name uncultured bacterium. RNAcentral describes it as "partial 16S ribosomal RNA". It matches the Rfam family "Bacterial small subunit ribosomal RNA", at positions 338 to 795 of the family's 1533-position model. The record is from RNAcentral.